AGUUCUCAACCAUAGUGUUUGGUUUGGAUGUGGGGGUAUUUUUGCAGGCUUAAUAUAAAGUCAGCUCCCCUGAAAUGUAUUAGUGGUAUCUGUGCAGAGAUGUCCAUAGGUGUGAUAAAUUAUCUAUGCCUUGGCUCUGCUGCUUGCACUGCUUUCUAAACAACUUUUGACAG
Molecule: unclassified non-coding RNA, 173 nt
Filed under: uncultured Inocybe
Lineage: Eukaryota; Fungi; Basidiomycota; Agaricomycetes; Agaricales; Cortinariaceae
Description: sequence contains ITS2
Source: RNAcentral